CCAAUAAGGAUAGCGCCUGAUCUGGAAACAGAUGACGAGGAAAGAGUUUAUCGAAACAUUCGGCGGAUGACUCUAGGGACUGCACUCUACAGGCAAGAACAAAUCUCAUCGUAAGGUGAUGACAAAGACUUGCUACGCAGAUAG
Molecule: regulatory RNA element, 144 nt
Organism: Enterococcus casseliflavus EC20
Lineage: Bacteria; Bacillati; Bacillota; Bacilli; Lactobacillales; Enterococcaceae
Rfam family: glmS glucosamine-6-phosphate activated ribozyme aptamer
About the family: This entry contains a glucosamine-6-phosphate activated ribozyme that is found in the mRNA for GlmS. GlmS is an enzyme that uses fructose-6-phosphate and glutamine to generate glucosamine-6-phosphate. The ribozyme catalyses self cleavage of the glmS mRNA that is thought to regulate GlmS activity.
Source: Rfam